AUACGGAGGGUGCAAGCGUUAUCCGGAAUCACUGGGUUUAAAGGGUGCGUAGGCGGCUCAAUCAGUCAGGGGUGAAAUCUUGCAGCUUAACUGUAAAAUUGCCUUUGAUACUGUUGAGCUUGAAUUAGGUUGAGGUUGGCGGAAUGUGACAUGUAGCGGUGAAAUGCAUAGAUAUGUCAUAGAACACCAAUUGCGAAGGCAGCUGGCUAGACCUUAAUUGACGCUGAGGCACGAAAGCGUGGGGAGCGAACAGGAUUAGAAACCCCAGUAGUCC
This 274-nucleotide ribosomal RNA is filed under the name uncultured bacterium. RNAcentral's name for it is "partial 16S ribosomal RNA". It matches the Rfam family "Bacterial small subunit ribosomal RNA", at positions 523 to 796 of the family's 1533-position model. The record is from RNAcentral.